Molecule: ribosomal RNA, 2906 nt
Filed under: Salmonella enterica
Lineage: Bacteria; Pseudomonadati; Pseudomonadota; Gammaproteobacteria; Enterobacterales; Enterobacteriaceae
Also listed under: 2 other names
Description: 23S ribosomal RNA
Rfam family: Bacterial large subunit ribosomal RNA
Source: RNAcentral
GGUUAAGCGACUAAGCGUACACGGUGGAUGCCCUGGCAGUCAGAGGCGAUGAAGGACGUGCUAAUCUGCGAUAAGCGCCGGUAAGGUGAUAUGAACCGUUAUAACCGGCGAUUUCCGAAUGGGGAAACCCAGUGUGACUCGUCACACUAUCAUUAACUGAAUCCAUAGGUUAAUGAGGCGAACCGGGGGAACUGAAACAUCUAAGUACCCCGAGGAAAAGAAAUCAACCGAGAUUCCCCCAGUAGCGGCGAGCGAACGGGGAGGAGCCCAGAGCCUGAAUCAGCAUGUGUGUUAGUGGAAGCGUCUGGAAAGGCGCGCGAUACAGGGUGACAGCCCCGUACACAAAAGCGCAUGUGCUGUGAGCUCGAUGAGUAGGGCGGGACACGUGGUAUCCUGUCUGAAUAUGGGGGGACCAUCCUCCAAGGCUAAAUACUCCUGACUGACCGAUAGUGAACCAGUACCGUGAGGGAAAGGCGAAAAGAACCCCGGCGAGGGGAGUGAAAAAGAACCUGAAACCGUGUACGUACAAGCAGUGGGAGCACCCUUUGGGGUGUGACUGCGUACCUUUUGUAUAAUGGGUCAGCGACUUAUAUUCUGUAGCAAGGUUAACCGAAUAGGGGAGCCGGAGGGAAACCGAGUCUUAAUUGGGCGUUAAGUUGCAGGGUAUAGACCCGAAACCCGGUGAUCUAGCCAUGGGCAGGUUGAAGGUUGGGUAACACUAACUGGAGGACCGAACCGACUAAUGUUGAAAAAUUAGCGGAUGACCUGUGGCUGGGGGUGAAAGGCCAAUCAAACCGGGAGAUAGCUGGUUCUCCCCGAAAGCUAUUUAGGUAGCGCCUCGUGAAUUCAUCUCCGGGGGUAGAGCACUGUUUCGGCUAGGGGGCCAUCCCGGCUUACCAACCCGAUGCAAACUGCGAAUACCGGAGAAUGUUAUCACGGGAGACACACGGCGGGUGCUAACGUCCGUCGUGAAGAGGGAAACAACCCAGACCGCCAGCUAAGGUCCCAAAGUCAUGGUUAAGUGGGAAACGAUGUGGGAAGGCCCAGACAGCCAGGAUGUUGGCUUAGAAGCAGCCAUCAUUUAAAGAAAGCGUAAUAGCUCACUGGUCGAGUCGGCCUGCGCGGAAGAUGUAACGGGGCUAAACCAUGCACCGAAGCUGCGGCAGCGACGCUGAUGCGUUGUUGGGUAGGGGAGCGUUCUGUAAGCCUGUGAAGGUGGCCUGUGAGGGUUGCUGGAGGUAUCAGAAGUGCGAAUGCUGACAUAAGUAACGAUAAAGCGGGUGAAAAGCCCGCUCGCCGGAAGACCAAGGGUUCCUGUCCAACGUUAAUCGGGGCAGGGUGAGUCGACCCCUAAGGCGAGGCCGAAAGGCGUAGUCGAUGGGAAACGGGUUAAUAUUCCCGUACUUGGUGUUACUGCGAAGGGGGGACGGAGAAGGCUAUGUUGGCCGGGCGACGGUUGUCCCGGUUUAAGCGUGUAGGUGUGUGUUCCAGGUAAAUCCGGUUCACUUUAACACUGAGGCGUGAUGACGAGGCACUACGGUGCUGAAGCAACAAAUGCCCUGCUUCCAGGAAAAGCCUCUAAGCAUCAGGUAACAUCAAAUCGUACCCCAAACCGACACAGGUGGUCAGGUAGAGAAUACCAAGGCGCUUGAGAGAACUCGGGUGAAGGAACUAGGCAAAAUGGUGCCGUAACUUCGGGAGAAGGCACGCUGACACGUAGGUGAAGUGAUUUACUCAUGGAGCUGAAGUCAGUCGAAGAUACCAGCUGGCUGCAACUGUUUAUUAAAAACACAGCACUGUGCAAACACGAAAGUGGACGUAUACGGUGUGACGCCUGCCCGGUGCCGGAAGGUUAAUUGAUGGGGUCAGCGCAAGCGAAGCUCCUGAUCGAAGCCCCGGUAAACGGCGGCCGUAACUAUAACGGUCCUAAGGUAGCGAAAUUCCUUGUCGGGUAAGUUCCGACCUGCACGAAUGGCGUAAUGAUGGCCAGGCUGUCUCCACCCGAGACUCAGUGAAAUUGAACUCGCUGUGAAGAUGCAGUGUACCCGCGGCAAGACGGAAAGACCCCGUGAACCUUUACUAUAGCUUGACACUGAACAUUGAGCCUUGAUGUGUAGGAUAGGUGGGAGGCUUUGAAGUGUGGACGCCAGUCUGCAUGGAGCCGGCCUUGAAAUACCACCCUUUAAUGUUUGAUGUUCUAACGUGGACCCGUGAUCCGGGUUGCGGACAGUGUCUGGUGGGUAGUUUGACUGGGGCGGUCUCCUCCUAAAGAGUAACGGAGGAGCACGAAGGUUGGCUAAUCCUGGUCGGACAUCAGGAGGUUAGUGCAAUGGCAUAAGCCAGCUUGACUGCGAGCGUGACGGCGCGAGCAGGUGCGAAAGCAGGUCAUAGUGAUCCGGUGGUUCUGAAUGGAAGGGCCAUCGCUCAACGGAUAAAAGGUACUCCGGGGAUAACAGGCUGAUACCGCCCAAGAGUUCAUAUCGACGGCGGUGUUUGGCACCUCGAUGUCGGCUCAUCACAUCCUGGGGCUGAAGUAGGUCCCAAGGGUAUGGCUGUUCGCCAUUUAAAGUGGUACGCGAGCUGGGUUUAGAACGUCGUGAGACAGUUCGGUCCCUAUCUGCCGUGGGCGCUGGAGAACUGAGGGGGGCUGCUCCUAGUACGAGAGGACCGGAGUGGACGCAUCACUGGUGUUCGGGUUGUCAUGCCAAUGGCACUGCCCGGUAGCUAAAUGCGGAAGAGAUAAGUGCUGAAAGCAUCUAAGCACGAAACUUGCCCCGAGAUGAGUUCUCCCUGAGACUUAGAGUCUCCUGAAGGAACGUUGAAGACGACGACGUUGAUAGGCCGGGUGUGUAAGCGCAGCGAUGCGUUGAGCUAACCGGUACUAAUGAACCGUGAGGCUUAACCUU